Molecule: ribosomal RNA, 465 nt
Filed under: uncultured bacterium
Lineage: Bacteria
Description: partial 16S ribosomal RNA
Rfam family: Bacterial small subunit ribosomal RNA
Source: RNAcentral
GACGAACGCUGGCGGCGUGCUUAACACAUGCAAGUCGAACGGAAAGGCCCCUUUAGGGUUACUCGACGGGCGAACGGGUGAGUAACACGUGAGUAACCUUCCCUUGACUUCUUGUUAACUUCAGGAAACUGGGGCUAAUACCGGAUAUAAAUCCUUGCUGCAUGGUGGGGGUUGGAAAGCUCCUUGGGUUUUGGAUGGACUCGCGGCUUAUUAGCUUGUUGGUGGGGUAGUGGCUUACCAACGCUUUGACGGGUAGACGGACUGAGGGGGCGAGCGGCGGUAUUGGGACUGAGAUAAGGCCCAGACUCCUACGGGAGGAAGCAGUGGGGAAUAUUGCACAAUGGGUGGAAGGCUGAUGCAGCAAGGCCGCGUGCGGGAUGACGGCCUUCGUGUUGUAAACAGGUUUCAGCAGGGGAGAAGCUUGUGGUGACGGUACCUGAAGAAGAAGCACCGGCUAACUACGUG